Long non-coding RNA from Ochotona curzoniae (black-lipped pika), 427 nucleotides. RefSeq lists it as uncharacterized. The transcript is spliced from 2 exons. Lineage: Eukaryota; Metazoa; Chordata; Mammalia; Lagomorpha; Ochotonidae. The record is from RefSeq and is a predicted model, not a curated record.
ACACCCAACUUUGUCUCUUUGUUGUUCUCACCUGUGGGCUAUAACACGUGCUGUUCCUUCUGCAUGCCACCCUCUUCCCAAGGUAUCUACAUGGUUCAUUCCUUCUCCUCUUCCAACCUCAACCCAUAUAGCAACUGGAAAAAUCAUGUUCCAUGGGAUCAGGAGCUGAGCUCUACAACGUCAAGCCAGUGCACACACACAAGGGCACUUCAAGAAAUGUGUAGAGAAUGGAAUGAAAAAGUAAGCUGCUUUUUGUACAGAAGAUUGUUGACAUUCAUGCACAGGUCCUCAAAAUGUUCAUGGAGAACACAUAUUGUGAAAAAGCUACACAUGGAUUUCAAGUUUUUUUUUCCACCUGAAGUUAUUUUUCAGUUCCGUUUUCCUCCAAAUUUUGAAGAACCUUUGUAUAUGAGUCCAUCAAUAGAUU